CCCCUACGGGGCGCAGCAGUGGGGAAUAUUGCACAAUGGGGGAAACCCUGAUGCAGCGACGCCGCGUGAGUGAAGAAGUAUUUCGGUAUGUAAAGCUCUAUCAGCAGGGAAGAAAAUGACGGUACCUGACUAAGAAGCCCCGGCUAACUGCGUGCCAGCAGCCGCGGUAAUACGUAGGGGGCAAGCGUUAUCCGGAUUUACUGGGUGUAAAGGGAGCGUAGACGGCAGUGCAAGUCCGGAGUGAAAGCCCGGGGCUCAACCCUGGGACUGCUCUGGAAACUGUAAAGCUGGAGUGCGGGAGGGGC
This 305-nucleotide ribosomal RNA is filed under the name uncultured bacterium. Its description in RNAcentral is "bacterial SSU rRNA". It matches the Rfam family "Bacterial small subunit ribosomal RNA", at positions 336 to 658 of the family's 1533-position model. The record is from RNAcentral.